This 625-nucleotide ribosomal RNA is filed under the name Pseudomonas plecoglossicida. Its description in RNAcentral is "bacterial SSU rRNA". It matches the Rfam family "Bacterial small subunit ribosomal RNA", at positions 378 to 994 of the family's 1533-position model. The record is from RNAcentral. Lineage: Bacteria; Pseudomonadati; Pseudomonadota; Gammaproteobacteria; Pseudomonadales; Pseudomonadaceae.
AAAGCCUGAUCCAGCCAUGCCGCGUGUGUGAAGAAGGUCUUCGGAUUGUAAAAGCACUUUAAGUUGGGAGGAAGGGCAGUAAGCUAAUACCUUGCUGUUUUGACGUUACCGACAGAAUAAGCACCGGCUAACUCUGUGCCAGCAGCCGCGGUAAUACAGAGGGUGCAAGCGUUAAUCGGAAUUACUGGGCGUAAAGCGCGCGUAGGUGGUUCGUAAAGUGGGAUGUGAAAGCCCCGGGCUCAACCUGGGAACUGCAUCCAAAACUGGCGAGCUAGAGUACGGUAGAGGGUGGUGGAAUUUCCUGUGUAGCGGUGAAAUGCGUAGAUAUAGGAAGGAACACCAGUGGCGAAGGCGACCACCUGGACUGAUACUGACACUGAGGUGCGAAAGCGUGCGGAGCAAACAGGAUUAGAUACCCUGGUAGUCCACGCCGUAAACGAUGUCAACUAGCCGUUGGAAUCCUUGAGAUAUUAGUGGCGCAGCUAACGCAUUAAGUUGACCGCCUGGGGAGUACGGCCGCAAGGUUAAAACUCAAAUGAAUUGACGGGGGCCCGCACAAGCGGUGGAGCAUGUGGUUCAAUUCGAAGCAACGCGAAGAACCUUACCAGGCCUUGACAUGCAGAGA